This 2908-nucleotide ribosomal RNA is filed under the name Citrobacter freundii. RNAcentral's name for it is "23S ribosomal RNA". It matches the Rfam family "Bacterial large subunit ribosomal RNA". Lineage: Bacteria; Pseudomonadati; Pseudomonadota; Gammaproteobacteria; Enterobacterales; Enterobacteriaceae. The record is from RNAcentral.
GGUUAAGCGACUAAGCGUACACGGUGGAUGCCCUGGCAGUCAGAGGCGAUGAAGGACGUGCUAAUCUGCGAUAAGCGUCGGUAAGGUGAUAUGAACCGUUAUAACCGGCGAUUUCCGAAUGGGGAAACCCAGUGUGAUUCGUCACACUAUCAUUACGUGAAUACAUAGCGUAAUGAAGCGAACCGGGGGAACUGAAACAUCUAAGUACCCCGAGGAAAAGAAAUCAACCGAGAUUCCCCCAGUAGCGGCGAGCGAACGGGGAGCAGCCCAGAGUCUGAAUCAGCUUGUGUGUUAGUGGAACGGUCUGGAAAGUCCGACGGUACAGGGUGAUAGUCCCGUACACCAAAAUGCACAGGUUGUGAACUCGAAGAGUAGGGCGGGACACGUGGUAUCCUGUCUGAAUAUGGGGGGACCAUCCUCCAAGGCUAAAUACUCCUGACUGACCGAUAGUGAACCAGUACCGUGAGGGAAAGGCGAAAAGAACCCCGGCGAGGGGAGUGAAAAAGAACCUGAAACCGUGUACGUACAAGCAGUGGGAGCAUCCUUUUGGGUGUGACUGCGUACCUUUUGUAUAAUGGGUCAGCGACUUAUAUUCUGUAGCAAGGUUAACCGUAUAGGGGAGCCGAAGGGAAACCGAGUCUUAACUGGGCGUUAAGUUGCAGGGUAUAGACCCGAAACCCGGUGAUCUAGCCAUGGGCAGGUUGAAGGUUGGGUAACACUAACUGGAGGACCGAACCGACUAAUGUUGAAAAAUUAGCGGAUGACUUGUGGCUGGGGGUGAAAGGCCAAUCAAACCGGGAGAUAGCUGGUUCUCCCCGAAAGCUAUUUAGGUAGCGCCUCGUGAAUUCAUCUUCGGGGGUAGAGCACUGUUUCGGCUAGGGGGUCAUCCCGACUUACCAACCCGAUGCAAACUGCGAAUACCGAAGAAUGUUAUCACGGGAGACACACGGCGGGUGCUAACGUCCGUCGUGAAGAGGGAAACAACCCAGACCGCCAGCUAAGGUCCCAAAGUCAUGGUUAAGUGGGAAACGAUGUGGGAAGGCACAGACAGCCAGGAUGUUGGCUUAGAAGCAGCCAUCAUUUAAAGAAAGCGUAAUAGCUCACUGGUCGAGUCGGCCUGCGCGGAAGAUGUAACGGGGCUAAACCAUGCACCGAAGCUGCGGCAGCGACACUAUGUGUUGUUGGGUAGGGGAGCGUUCUGUAAGCCGUUGAAGGUGUAUCGUGAGGUAUGCUGGAGGUAUCAGAAGUGCGAAUGCUGACAUAAGUAACGAUAAUGCGGGUGAAAAACCCGCACGCCGGAAGACCAAGGGUUCCUGUCCAACGUUAAUCGGGGCAGGGUGAGUCGACCCCUAAGGCGAGGCCGAAAGGCGUAGUCGAUGGGAAACAGGUUAAUAUUCCUGUACUUGGUGUUACUGCGAAGGGGGGACGGAGAAGGCUAUGUUAGCCGGGCGACGGUUGUCCCGGUUUAAGCAUGUAGGCGGAGGUUCCAGGUAAAUCCGGUACCUUUUUAACGCUGAGGUGUGAUGACGAGGCACUACGGUGCUGAAGUAACAAAUGCCCUGCUUCCAGGAAAAGCCUCUAAGCAUCAGGUAACACAAAAUCGUACCCCAAACCGACACAGGUGGUCAGGUAGAGAAUACCAAGGCGCUUGAGAGAACUCGGGUGAAGGAACUAGGCAAAAUGGUGCCGUAACUUCGGGAGAAGGCACGCUGAUAUGUAGGUGAAGUGAUUUACUCAUGGAGCUGAAAUCAGUCGAAGAUACCAGCUGGCUGCAACUGUUUAUUAAAAACACAGCACUGUGCAAACACGAAAGUGGACGUAUACGGUGUGACGCCUGCCCGGUGCCGGAAGGUUAAUUGAUGGGGUUAUCCGUAAGGAGAAGCUCUUGAUCGAAGCCCCGGUAAACGGCGGCCGUAACUAUAACGGUCCUAAGGUAGCGAAAUUCCUUGUCGGGUAAGUUCCGACCUGCACGAAUGGCGUAAUGAUGGCCAGGCUGUCUCCACCCGAGACUCAGUGAAAUUGAACUCGCUGUGAAGAUGCAGUGUACCCGCGGCAAGACGGAAAGACCCCGUGAACCUUUACUAUAGCUUGACACUGAACACUGGUCCUUGAUGUGUAGGAUAGGUGGGAGGCUUUGAAGUGUGGACGCCAGUCUGCAUGGAGCCAUCCUUGAAAUACCACCCUUUAAUGGCUGGUGUUCUAACGUGGACCCGUAAUCCGGGUUGCGGACAGUGUCUGGUGGGUAGUUUGACUGGGGCGGUCUCCUCCUAAAGAGUAACGGAGGAGCACGAAGGUUAGCUAAUCCUGGUCGGACAUCAGGAGGUUAGUGCAAAGGCAUAAGCUAGCUUGACUGCGAGAGUGACGGCUCGAGCAGGUGCGAAAGCAGGUCUUAGUGAUCCGGUGGUUCUGAAUGGAAGGGCCAUCGCUCAACGGAUAAAAGGUACUCCGGGGAUAACAGGCUGAUACCGCCCAAGAGUUCAUAUCGACGGCGGUGUUUGGCACCUCGAUGUCGGCUCAUCACAUCCUGGGGCUGAAGUAGGUCCCAAGGGUAUGGCUGUUCGCCAUUUAAAGUGGUACGCGAGCUGGGUUUAGAACGUCGUGAGACAGUUCGGUCCCUAUCUGCCGUGGGCGCUGGAGAAUUGAGGGGGGCUGCUCCUAGUACGAGAGGACCGGAGUGGACGCAUCACUGGUGUUCGGGUUGUCAUGCCAAUGGCAUUGCCCGGUAGCUAAAUGCGGAAGAGAUAAGUGCUGAAAGCAUCUAAGCACGAAACUUGCCCCGAGAUGAGUUCUCCCUGAGACUUUAAGUCUCCUGAAGGAACGUUAAAGACGAUGACGUUGAUAGGUCGGGUGUGUAAGUGUAGCGAUACAUUGAGCUAACCGAUACUAAUGAACCGUGAGGCUUAACCUU